UACGUAGGGGGGCAAGCGUUGUCCGGAUUUAUUGGGCGUAAAGCGCUCGCAGGCGGCCCGAUGCGUCGUGCGUGAAACACCCCGGCUCAACUGGGGAGGGUCGUGCGAUACGGUCGGGCUUGAGGCCAGUAGGGGGAUGCGGAAUUCCGGGUGUAGUGGUGGAAUGCGUAGAGAUCCGGAGGAACACCAGCGGCGAAGGCGGCAUCCUGGACUG
RNAcentral lists this ribosomal RNA (214 nucleotides) under uncultured bacterium. Its description in RNAcentral is "partial 16S ribosomal RNA". It matches the Rfam family "Bacterial small subunit ribosomal RNA", at positions 524 to 736 of the family's 1533-position model. The record is from RNAcentral.